This 197-nucleotide ribosomal RNA is filed under the name uncultured bacterium. Its description in RNAcentral is "partial 16S ribosomal RNA". It matches the Rfam family "Bacterial small subunit ribosomal RNA", at positions 328 to 539 of the family's 1533-position model. The record is from RNAcentral.
ACGCUCGACACCUACGGGAGGCGCAGUGGGGAAUAUUGCACAAUGGGGGAAACCCUGAUGCAGCGACGCCGCGUGAGCGAAGAAGUAUUUCGGUAUGUAAAGCUCUAUCAGCAGGGAAGAAAAUGACGGUACCUGACUAAGAAGCCCCGGCUAACUACGUGCCGGCAGCCGCGGUAAUCUGAGCGGGCUGGCAAGGC